AGGUAUUCCAGCACACAUGCAGAUCCUGGAGCGAAAUCUUCCUUGCUGUGUCUGGACUUCUUUUAAGGAGCCUGCGUGAUUUCCCCCCAGUUCGGGAGAGGAGGGAACAGGAAAAAAAGGCAAUGCGGGAACUUCCAUCUGCCAAGCGGAGCAAGGUGAGGGCACUGUCUCGAAUGGAAUAGACCCUCCUUGCAGCGGUGUGGAUUCUGGAAUUGCCUGCGGCCACCUCUUGCUGCUUUUCAUGAUCCCCACCCCCGGAAGACCUGCCUUUGGAAACUGGGCAACUCCAGAAGCGGCAGCACCCCUGGGAAGUUCCCCCCUGCGGAGAUGCAACGUUGCCUGAGGAAGAGCUGGCAGAUGUUUUCGGGGAAGCGCACACUCAAGUAGGGGAAUUGGUUGCAAUGCAAAAGAGCUGGAGAGGGAACCCCUCUGUCCACUUCAGAAGGGACAACAUCAAGGGAAUAUACCAGGAAGGUAAUUAAAAUCUGUUCUUUUUGUGAGCAUUGCA
Molecule: long non-coding RNA, 508 nt
Organism: Hemicordylus capensis (graceful crag lizard)
Lineage: Eukaryota; Metazoa; Chordata; Lepidosauria; Squamata; Cordylidae
Exons: 2
Source: RefSeq, a predicted model, not a curated record